UUAAGUUAUUAAGGGCGCACGGUGGAUGCCUUGGCACUAGAAGCCGAUGAAGGACGUUACUAACGACGAUAUGCUUUGGGGAGCUGUAAGUAAGCUUUGAUCCAGAGAUUUCCGAAUGGGGAAACCCAGCAUGAGUUAUGUCAUGUUAUCGAUAUGUGAAUACAUAGCAUAUCAGAAGGCACACCCGGAGAACUGAAACAUCUUAGUACCCGGAGGAAGAGAAAGAAAAUUCGAUUCCCUUAGUAGCGGCGAGCGAAACGGGAAGAGCCCAAACCAAAAAGCUUGCUUGUUGGGGUUGUAGGACACUCUAUACGGAGUUACAAAGGACGACAUUAGACGAAUCAUCUGGAAAGAUGAAUCAAAGAAGGUAAUAAUCCUGUAGUCGAAAAUGUUGUCUCUCUUGAGUGGAUCCUGAGUACGACGGAGCACGUGAAAUUCCGUCGGAAUCUGGGAGGACCAUCUCCUAAGGCUAAAUACUCUCUAGUGACCGAUAGUGAACCAGUACCGUGAGGGAAAGGUGAAAAGCACCCCGGAAGGAGAGUGAAAUAGAACCUGAAACCGUGUGCUUACAAGUAGUCAGAGCCCGUUAAUGGGUGAUGGCGUGCCUUUUGUAGAAUGAACCGGCGAGUUACGAUUUGAUGCAAGGUUAAGCAGUAAAUGUGGAGCCGUAGCGAAAGCGAGUCUGAAUAGGGCGUUUAGUAUUUGGUCGUAGACCCGAAACCAGGUGAUCUACCCUUGGUCAGGUUGAAGUUCAGGUAACACUGAAUGGAGGACCGAACCGACUUACGUUGAAAAGUGAGCGGAUGAACUGAGGGUAGCGGAGAAAUUCCAAUCGAACCUGGAGAUAGCUGGUUCUCUCCGAAAUAGCUUUAGGGCUAGCCUCAAGUGAUGAUUAUUGGAGGUAGAGCACUGUUUGGACGAGGGGCCCCUCUCGGGUUACCGAAUUCAGACAAACUCCGAAUGCCAAUUAAUUUAACUUGGGAGUCAGAACAUGGGUGAUAAGGUCCGUGUUCGAAAGGGAAACAGCCCAGACCACCAGCUAAGGUCCCAAAAUAUAUGUUAAGUGGAAAAGGAUGUGGCGUUGCCCAGACAACUAGGAUGUUGGCUUAGAAGCAGCCAUCAUUUAAAGAGUGCGUAAUAGCUCACUAGUCGAGUGACACUGCGCCGAAAAUGUACCGGGGCUAAACAUAUUACCGAAGCUGUGGAUUGUCCUUUGGACAAUGGUAGGAGAGCGUUCUAAGGGCGUUGAAGCAUGAUCGUAAGGACAUGUGGAGCGCUUAGAAGUGAGAAUGCCGGUGUGAGUAGCGAAAGACGGGUGAGAAUCCCGUCCACCGAUUGACUAAGGUUUCCAGAGGAAGGCUCGUCCGCUCUGGGUUAGUCGGGUCCUAAGCUGAGGCCGACAGGCGUAGGCGAUGGAUAACAGGUUGAUAUUCCUGUACCACCUAUAAUCGUUUUAAUCGAUGGGGGGACGCAGUAGGAUAGGCGAAGCGUGCGAUUGGAUUGCACGUCUAAGCAGUAAGGCUGAGUAUUAGGCAAAUCCGGUACUCGUUAAGGCUGAGCUGUGAUGGGGAGAAGACAUUGAGUCUUCGAGUCGUUGAUUUCACACUGCCGAGAAAAGCCUCUAGAUAGAAAAUAGGUGCCCGUACCGCAAACCGACACAGGUAGUCAAGAUGAGAAUUCUAAGGUGAGCGAGCGAACUCUCGUUAAGGAACUCGGCAAAAUGACCCCGUAACUUCGGGAGAAGGGGUGCUCUUUAGGGUUAACGCCCAGAAGAGCCGCAGUGAAUAGGCCCAAGCGACUGUUUAUCAAAAACACAGGUCUCUGCUAAACCGUAAGGUGAUGUAUAGGGGCUGACGCCUGCCCGGUGCUGGAAGGUUAAGAGGAGUGGUUAGCUUCUGCGAAGCUACGAAUCGAAGCCCCAGUAAACGGCGGCCGUAACUAUAACGGUCCUAAGGUAGCGAAAUUCCUUGUCGGGUAAGUUCCGACCCGCACGAAAGGCGUAACGAUUUGGGCACUGUCUCAACGAGAGACUCGGUGAAAUCAUAGUACCUGUGAAGAUGCAGGUUACCCGCGACAGGACGGAAAGACCCCGUGGAGCUUUACUGUAGCCUGAUAUUGAAAUUCGGCACAGCUUGUACAGGAUAGGUAGGAGCCUUUGAAACGUGAGCGCUAGCUUACGUGGAGGCGCUGGUGGGAUACUACCCUAGCUGUGUUGGCUUUCUAACCCGCACCACUUAUCGUGGUGGGAGACAGUGUCAGGCGGGCAGUUUGACUGGGGCGGUCGCCUCCUAAAAGGUAACGGAGGCGCUCAAAGGUUCCCUCAGAAUGGUUGGAAAUCAUUCAUAGAGUGUAAAGGCAUAAGGGAGCUUGACUGCGAGACCUACAAGUCGAGCAGGGUCGAAAGACGGACUUAGUGAUCCGGUGGUUCCGCAUGAAAGGGCCAUCGCUCAACGGAUAAAAGCUACCCCGGGGAUAACAGGCUUAUCUCCCCCAAGAGUUCACAUCGACGGGGAGGUUUGGCACCUCGAUGUCGGCUCAUCGCAUCCUGGGGCUGUAGUCGGUCCCAAGGGUUGGGCUGUUCGCCCAUUAAAGCGGUACGCGAGCUGGGUUCAGAACGUCGUGAGACAGUUCGGUCCCUAUCCGUCGUGGGCGUAGGAAAUUUGAGAGGAGCUGUCCUUAGUACGAGAGGACCGGGAUGGACAUACCUCUGGUGUACCAGUUGUCGUGCCAACGGCAUAGCUGGGUAGCUAUGUGUGGACGGGAUAAGUGCUGAAAGCAUCUAAGCAUGAAGCCCCCCUCAAGAUGAGAUUUCCCAACUUCGGUUAUAAGAUCCCUCAAAGAUGAUGAGGUUAAUAGGUUCGAGGUGGAAGCAUGGUGACAUGUGGAGCUGACGAAUACUAAUCGAUCGAAGACUUAAUCAA
Molecule: ribosomal RNA, 2921 nt
Filed under: Staphylococcus aureus DAR3902
Lineage: Bacteria; Bacillati; Bacillota; Bacilli; Caryophanales; Staphylococcaceae
Description: bacterial LSU rRNA
Rfam family: Bacterial large subunit ribosomal RNA
Source: RNAcentral